This is a long non-coding RNA of Chroicocephalus ridibundus (black-headed gull), 4074 nucleotides long. RefSeq lists it as uncharacterized. The transcript is spliced from 7 exons. The record is from RefSeq and is a predicted model, not a curated record. Lineage: Eukaryota; Metazoa; Chordata; Aves; Charadriiformes; Laridae.
GGCCGGCAGCGGCAGGCGGGGGAGGAGGGGGGCGGAGGAGGAGGACGACGACGAUGAUGAUGAUGAUGAUGAGGAGGAGGAUGAGGAGGGCAUCCCCGCGCAUGGCGGCCAGGGUUGGCACCGCGGCCGCGGCCGUCGGGUGACCUGGGUGCCCCGGGCCGGGCGCGGCGCUGGCCGCGGGCUGUGAGGGCGGCGGGAAGCGGCGGCGGCGGCGGCCACCCCAUCGCCAGGCGCUGCCACUGCCCCCCCGGUCCUCGGUACUUUUCGCGACCCUGCGGGUGCGCGGCCCUGGCGUUGCGGCGGGGCCGCGGGUAGCCCGCCCCGGGCAGUCGCGACUGAGGGGCGAGUCGCGAUUGGCGUCUGUGGCUUAGGCGAGAGCAGCCCGAGUGGCGUGUUCAGUUGUGUUAAGGGAAGAAGAAGGUAUCCUAUCAUGAGAAAAAAAAAGAAGAAACAUGCAAAGCCAGAAGAAAUUAUGUUCUAAACCCAAGACCUAUUUUGUUUUGCUUUUUUAAUGUGUAUUAGUACAUCAGAAGAGAAUUUUUAAUAGUGUCUACCACUCAGAAGUCCCAUCAGGAACCUACUAAAUACAAAUGAAAAACUAGACUCUGUUAUAUAUCCCUUGUUUUUAAUUUAGACUUUGACUGAGCCAGAGGCUGUAACUGUAGAUCAUCUGGGAAGAAUCUGAAUAAAAAAGCAAGAUCAGAAAUGACGCAAUGUUUGUCUUUGCCUUUUUUAUUUUUUACUCUCUGUAUACUAUGACUUCAAGAUAAAACCUUAGGUUCAGAAAGCAAUACGAGCCAUAAAAACUAGGUUUUGAAAGUAAAAGACUGCAGCUUGCUUCAUAAAGAAGGGGAAAUCCUAGGCCAAAGCCAAUGAAACCAAAAUAUUCUUGGGCCUGUCCUGGAAAGUUUUAUGGCAUAUAAAGAUCGGAUACUAGAAUGACAAUCACUGAACUGAGGCAAAUUCAGGAGCAACAGCAGUUGUAGCACAUCAAAAACAGCAACUGGGGCUCUGGCUUUGGGCCCAAGCUGCCAUCGGUUUUCUUUUUCACAUCAGCUGUUGAGUGACCAAGUAUCACAACUGCCACAACUGGGUGUACAAGGUGGGAAGUCGAGCAAAUCAUGAGAGCAAAUCAGCGGUAGGCGAACGAGUAAAUGACACUCUUAUUAGGCAGAGUUUAGAACUGUAAACUGACAGGGAUUGAACUGUGACUGUCAUGAUGAAAUGUCCUGGUGUUGCACAAGAUCACAGCGUAUGCCACAGCCUUCAAAUUACACGAGUAUAAGAAGGGAAUAGAGCUCUUGGACUGUAACAGUGUUGUUAAGAUGAUAAGUUUGUCUGGGAAUAUAUUAUGUGAUAACAUUGCCAACCCUAGGUGAGAAAUGAUCUGGACAGUCACAAUCGUCCUCUUCAGCCUUGACAUUAGACCUGUUUCUGCAAGAAUCAGGAUCGGUCCUUUCCUCUUAGGGAUGGAGUUUAUACCACUUUAGCCAGAAUUGGAGAGUUGGCUGAAUUAGAACUCUCCUAAUAAUCCACAGAGAACUGACUAAUAUCAUGAUAAACAAUCUCUGCAGCUCUUGCUGUAACCAUCAGCACUAUCUGAGAUCGAAUAUUAUUACUAUUCAUCAUCAAUAUCCUCUGCCUCAGGAUGUCAUUUCUAAGAUAUCAUGGGAAUCUGGGACUUCUGUGAUGUAGAAUUUGAAAAAUGGAGCUGUUGGUGAAAGAAACCAGGUGUAGGAGGUCUUCUGUGUAACUACACAUUCCCCUUGAAAAGCUGUUGCAGUAUGCAUCAGGAGUCAAGACAACACUCCAAGAGGCUAGAGGUCAGCAUGGAAAUGCACGGUUGAAUGAAAAGCACAUCCUGAACUCCCAAAAAAGAACUACUGAGGAAGCUACAAGGAGGCUCCUCUUCGCUGUAGACCUUUUCAGAUCUUUGGCCUCGCGCUGCAUGUGUAGUACAGACAACUAUGAUGCCAGCUCUAAGCGUGUUCCCUGUUUUUCUGUAUUGUUAUACUAUCGCUAAAUAUCUAGUAAUUCACUUGAAAUACUUGGCAGCAUACAGCAAAGCAAAUUCUCUGAACGUCUUGCUUCACCAUUUCACCAAAGCCCUGAAGAGAGAAUCUGGGAAAGGAGGAGCCUGGUGUUCUGACCCUGCCAGGCAGGCAUGGAGAGACUUGAGUCGUGUUUAAAAACCAAUCUAUAUCCGAUUAGUGAAUGUUUGCCACAGCCCUGGAAGGUAUAUAAUAGUCCUGUGGUAUAAUAUAGUACUGUGUUGAGUUUUGGGUCCCUCACUACAGGAGAGAAGUGUCCAGAGAAGGGCAACAAAGCUGGUGAGGGGCUAGAGCACAGGUCUUAUGAGGAGCGGCUGAGGCAACUGGGGUUGUUUAGCCUGGAGAAAAGAAGGCUGAGGGGAGACCUUCUCACUCUCUACAACUACCUGAAAGGAGGUUGUAGAGAGGUGGGAGUUGGUCUCUUCUGCCAGGUAACAGGCGAUAGGACAAGAGGAAAUGGCCUCAAGUUGCGCCAGGGGAGGUUUAGGAUGGAUAUUAGGAAAAAUUUCUUCACAGAAAGGUUUAUCAAGCAUUGGAACAGGCUGCCCAGGGAAUUGGUUGAGUCACCAUCCCUGGAGAUAUUUAAAAGACGUGUAGAUGUGGUGCUGAGGGACAUGGUUUAAUGGUAACUCGGCAGUGUUAGGUUAAUGGUUGGACUUGAUGAUCUUAAAGGUCUCUUCCAACCUAAACAAUUCUAUGAUUCUAUGAUUAUAAAUAUUGCUCUGUUUUACAGGAAUCUGGGAUGGAAGAGGACAAAUUCUGCUAUGCUAUAAAAAAUGCCUGAUAAACUUAGCAAGCACUUAAAAAUAUAUUCUUAGCAAGAAAAAAAAAUGUUAUAUACAGAUGUGUUUGUCUUGGUGGUAUCUGGUGAAUCUGGGAAUCGAAUUCAGUUAGAACGAGGAUGUUGUGCUCUUCAGAUGACAAUACUGCCCUAAAUAUCAUCUGAGAAUACCCUGUGUUUCUUGUCACUGCUUAAGGCAUCAGUCCAGAACACAUUAUUUCUUUGCACUCUUUGCUUUUAUGAUUUAGCAAAAAGAAACUUUUUUUUCUUUUCCUCUGAGUGGAUGUCACUUGAAUAUAACCAGAACAGCCACAGCUGAUUUUGAACAUCUUGAAGGAACCUAUUACACAAAUAAAGUGCACUUUGGGGCUUCUAUAUUGAUGAGUUAAAAGAAAGACGUUUUCAAAUUGAUGCAUGCUUGGGAAUGCUAAUGAGCAGUCUUGGACAUAUGACUAAACAGCAACGUUAGAAUGCUAGUGAGUAGUCCUCUUCCCCAGGCUGUGUCUGCCAAACAAUAGCUAGAAAUUUUAUUUUAAUCACAAAACCUUCUUCCUCUGUACAUGGAUUUCCUUCUCUUUCUUUUGUUUUCUUUUUCUUACUGGCCAAAUAGGAGACUAUACGGCCAAAUAUGAUGUGCUAUUUAGCACUGGCAAAUGAAGGUGUCAGCAUGGAAAAAAUGAUAGGGGAAGUUAAAGACAUUUAAGAAAUUAGAGAGAAGUAAUUAAGAGCAUGGAGAUUUUUUGUUUCCUUUAUUAAAGGAGCUUAUAUUGAACAAACAGUGAGAAAUACAUACAUGAACCAAGAAGAAGACAGACGCUAAAGACAAAACUGCUGAGAGCACAACAAAGUUAUAGUUUCUUGGUCCAGGGACCAUCAAAAGGAAAAAUCAGUAUCAUCCAAGGUUAAAAGUAACGUAAAACUCCUAAGUGGCCAUAACUGUCCAAACAGGAAGGAAUGAUAGAGCAGUUAAAUUACACUGAACAUAAAUUAAACACAUUUGUCAAUGAGUUCUAAUGGCGAGAUACAGGGACUUUUAUGCAGGUGAAAUCUCACGAAGAAGCAACUUCUCCUAUAUAUUGACUAGGUUUGAAUAAUAUCCUUUAUAUUAAUGAUUCUUUCAAAAGAGAAUGUCACCUUGCAUUUUUCCUACAAUGGAUAAUAUAAUGAGACCCAUCAGCUCUUCUAAAAAUAAUAUUCAUGUUUUUCGAUCAAAAAAUUAUAUCAACAAAGUGGUUCUUUAAA